This 497-nucleotide ribosomal RNA is filed under the name uncultured bacterium. RNAcentral's name for it is "partial 16S ribosomal RNA". It matches the Rfam family "Bacterial small subunit ribosomal RNA", at positions 28 to 507 of the family's 1533-position model. The record is from RNAcentral.
GAUGAACGCUGGCGGCGUGCCUAAUACAUGCAAGUCGAGCGAACAGACGAGGAGCUUGCUCCUCUGACGUUAGCGGCGUACGGGUGAGUAACACGUGGAUAACCUACCUAUAAGACUGGGAUAACUUCGGGAAACCGGAGCUAAUACCGGAUAAUAUAUUUAACCGCAUGUUUCAAUAGUGAAAGACGGUUUUGCUUUCACUUAUAGAUGGAUCCGCGCCGCAUUAGCUAGUUGGUAAGGUAACGGCUUACCAAGGCAACGAUGCGUAGCCGACCUGAGAGGGUGAUCGGCCACACUGGAACUGAGACACGGUCCAGACUCCUACGGGAGGCAGCAGUAGGGAAUCUUCAGCAAUGGGCGAAAGCCUGACGGAGCAACGCCGCGUGAGUGAUGAAGGUCUUCGGAUCGUAAAACUCUGUUAUUAGGGAAGAAAAAAUGUGUAAGUAACUAUGCACGUCUUGACGGUACCUAAUCAGAAAGCCACGGCUAACUACGUG